CCUACGGGGGGCAGCAGUGAGGAAUAUUGGUCAAUGGUCGGGAGACUGAACCAGCCAAGCCGCGUGAGGGAUGAAGGUACAGAGUAUCGUAAACCUCUUUUGUCAGGGAACAAAGGCGGGGACGUGUCCCCGGAUGAGUGUACCUGAAGAAAAAGCAUCGGCUAACUACGUGCCAGCAGCCGCGGUAAUACGUAGGGAGCGAGCGUUGUCCGGAUUUACUGGGUGUAAAGGGCGUGUAGGCGGAGCUGCAAGUCAGAAGUGAAAUCUCCGGGCUCAACCCGGAAACUGCUUUUGAAACUGUAGCC
This 305-nucleotide ribosomal RNA is filed under the name uncultured bacterium. RNAcentral's name for it is "bacterial SSU rRNA". It matches the Rfam family "Bacterial small subunit ribosomal RNA", at positions 338 to 640 of the family's 1533-position model. The record is from RNAcentral.